UUCUGUUAAUUUCUAUAUCAUGCAUACCGUGGGCAGGGUGGCGUGUAGAAAUAUUUUGUAUUACCUAUUGUAAUGAUUUGCAUUUUUUGUUAAACUUUAUUUUAUGAAAUCUUUUGUAAACUCCAGCAGUAUAUAUAUGUGUGUGUUUUUUAUUCAAUGAGCUAUGGUUUGUAAGAUAAUAUUUUAAACGUGUACGCCAAACUAUUUUGAAUGAUAGUUAAUUGUCAAUGAUGC
This 234-nucleotide long non-coding RNA is filed under the name Gossypium barbadense (sea-island cotton). RNAcentral's name for it is "long non-coding RNA (GBAR_LNC010463)". Lineage: Eukaryota; Viridiplantae; Streptophyta; Magnoliopsida; Malvales; Malvaceae. The record is from RNAcentral.